This 573-nucleotide long non-coding RNA is filed under the name Zea mays. RNAcentral describes it as "long non-coding RNA NONZMAT000925". Lineage: Eukaryota; Viridiplantae; Streptophyta; Magnoliopsida; Poales; Poaceae. The record is from RNAcentral.
AAUCGCGUGCCGCCACGCUCCUUGGACCAAGCCAUUACCGAUCUGCGCGCUCGCCUAGGAUCCCAUCGAAGCUCACCACCACCGAAAAGCCAGGACUCGUGCGCCGGUAACCUCGACCGCGACCGCCGCCGCGGUCCACCAUCCUACACGUCGUUGCUGGCCACCUGGGAACGUCCGACAGUUGUCGCGUGGGCGCUCUUCACCUGGGCGUUGUUGGUGUGAGAUCUGGGGCAGUGGGCGUAAGCCGGAUUGGUCGCCGUGGUGUGCUCAACCUGGCGGAGCUACGCCACACCAUCACUUGUUCGCAUCUUCACAUCGGCGGGGACACAUACCCUAGGAGCUUCGCAAUAUCACACCAAGCGUACCCGUGGCGGUGGCGGGCUCUGACGGUGGAGGUAGAGGACUGGAUUGCUCGCCGGAGUGCAACGAGAGCCUUAGUCCGCCCCACGCCCGGUUCUGCGCGCACGUCGUCGUGAUUUCCGGUAUGAGCCCCUUUCAUAGUUUAGAUUUGAUCCUCGAGUGUUUAGAUGGGUCCUGCGUAGUGAAUCAAGCACCGUAUCAAUGUCUGGGCUG